Molecule: long non-coding RNA, 11170 nt
Organism: Equus asinus (donkey)
Lineage: Eukaryota; Metazoa; Chordata; Mammalia; Perissodactyla; Equidae
Source: Ensembl
UUCGACACCUACCCAAGUGUGCGCUGGACAAGAGUGGAAACAUGUUUCUUGCAGUGGGUCACAGCCAAAAGUCUGAGAAACUUUCAGAGGGGCACUGCGUGAACUCCAUCUGUGUGUGUGGAUGUGAGGUGUGCGUGGACGUGGUCCUCUCCUUAAGGAUUUUUCUUGAAGGAACUCUGAGCCUUCAAAAUGUUUAUUGAAACAUCACUCAGAAAAUUUCCCCUGUUGAUCAGACUCUCACGUCCUUUCUGAGAAGAAGACCUCGGAUGCACUCUCUGGGCCUCACCUGGGGAAAGGUGCCACCAGGUGGGCAAUGUGCCAAACACCAAGAGACACUUCCACCCAUGGCCACUAGGUGGGGACACGCGGCUGUGAUCACGGAGUGACCCUGUUAGAACUAAUGGGGUGAUCUACCAGGCUCAAAGAAUGUGGUUCACUUUGAUCACUUCCCGUACUUCUGGCAGCAACCCCAGGUCAUGUGCUCCUGUCAGCCCCAUUCUGUGGCUGGGAGUAAAGAAGCUGUGAGGUGUUCUAGAACCUGUCCAGUGAAGUGUGGCUGUUGAGUGUGGGAUGAGCGUGCCAUUCCUGCCGGGGACUCCAGGCCUGGCCAAGCCAGAACAGCUCCGGCCUCUAGGUGUGGCUCCAGGACAAUCAACCCUAGGGGAGAGCAGCUGAGGCCACACUCGUCAAAGUUGCAGAGGAAGUUUCUCUGGCAGUCAGCCUGCUCCCUCUACUUGUCUCUGUUGGUGGAGACCGAACACAAAGUGCAGUGACUCAGAAGCCUUUGAGAGGGUGACUGGGGGCCUGGCCACCGCAAGGCACAGAGGCAGUGAGAUGGAUCGACCCAAAACGACAGUGUGCUGGGGAAAGAAGAAAUCAAGGCAGAAGGAAGAAGAAAAUGAACUCCAAGAAAUUCUGCCCAGUGAGCCUCAACAGCCCAAAGACCGUUUUUCAAAAUUCAGUGGGUGGCUUAUGAAAGUCCCCAGGAAAAGAAAACCAGACACUGCUAUUCAUCAGAAAGAAACUCCCAAAGACUUCCAAAAGUUGGUACAGAAGGGGCAGUUCCUGGAAGCCUGCCAGAGCAUCUCGGAGUUGUCACAGGAAGGGCAGGACUGUGGUCUCCAGUACAAGGUUGUGGCUGAGAGCAUGUGGCAGGUCAUCAAGGAGGCUCUGGGAGGCAUUGGGUACAGCCAGAAGCUGGAGCUAAAGCUCCAGGCAGUGGUGGCCACUGUGGAGUGGGUGGAGGACAACCCCCAGAGCUGGGAGGCCAGCGCCCUCGAGGAUGGUGGAGUUGCUUUCUGGGGAAGUCAUCUGGAGAGGCUCCUGAGAACAGAUGCUGAGGACCAAUUGCCCACUAUGAAGCCAAGCACCCAGCUGCGCCCGUACCUGAAGGAGCUGGACAAAGCUGUGGGACACAGCCUAGGGUCCCAGAGGGCAGGCCGGAUGGGGGACCCCCUCUGGGAAAUCUACAGGACGUGUUUCCAGGAGGUCCUCCUCAGCCGCCUCUCCGAGCUCCCUUCCUCCUACAGUCACGACAGGGAAGCCUACUUUGAGCUGUACAACUGGGGCAAGACGACCUUGUUUGGGCAGCUGGGCAGGGAGAUGCUUCAGAGAGUAGGUCCCACCUCCCAGAAGUCCAUGGCCGGGAACCUCUUGGACUCAAUGAUGUUCAUUACCUGGAUGUUCCAAAUGCAGGAGAAGCUGGUGGGGCUGAUCCAGGAGGAGUUGAAAAAGUGUCUAGAAAAUGUUCUGAUCUGUGAUCAGAAAAAGUGGACCGAGUCUGCCUCCUCAGUGUUCCUUGAAAUCUACCAGCUACUGAAAGAAGCUGUAGAUGCAGUCCGACACAUUGGGCCAUCCGUCACCAGACGGGUUCAAGCCAUGGUUCUGGAAACAUUUUCAAAGUUUCUGGAAAGCUACAAGGAUAAGGCUGAAGUCUUCAUCCAGCAGAACACCAGUGACCACACCUUUCCCGAGCUGCAUGUGCUGGAAAACUGCUGCAUCCUCAGGAAGACAUGGUGGUGGCUGAGCAGGGCGCACGUUCCCUGGGCACGCUUGGACCCAGCUGUGCAAGGUGCCAUCAAAGUCAUUGAGGACCAUGGCCGGGACCACCUCCUGCCUCGAGUCAGAGCCCUGUGCCAGGUGAUGUCCCGCACCCCAGCCCUGGCCUGGGGUCAUUUCUGCUCCCAGAGAAGGCUGGGCAGGAGGCCUGUCUCCCUGGCUUCCGUCCAGCCCAACAGAGCCUUUACUGGGACAGGACAUGGCAAAGUGCCAGCGAUGGAACCUGGUUGGAGAUGUCUCUGUCAGUCCUCCUGCCCUCCCCAGCCCUGAGUCCUGUGUGUGGAGCAGGAGAAGGACAGGGUCAGCUUCCUGUCUGGCCCGAGGGAGGGGCCCUGUCUGGGGGAGAGGGCUGGGGUGGGCCUGCAGCCCCUCAUGAGGCCUGGCUCCAUCCUCACCGAGGGCACCUCCCUGGGCAGGGUCCACAUUUGUGUCCCUCUGUCACCUCAGCCAGACCUGCUCCUUCUUCUCUCUUCCUGUGAAAUCAUUCAUUCUGCCAGGCCAGCUGAGGCCUGGCACUCGCUCCUCCAGGCCCGACUCCCUUCCCCCUCCCCCUGAUCCCAGCUCUGAGCCACGGGCAUCCCUAGGCAGGCGAAGCCCCCUGCACUGAGUUCCCAGGGCCUCCAUGCCCGUUCAUCUUUGCCUUCCCCUGAGCUGUGGCUGCCUUCAAGGCAGGGCCUUGCCCAGGAUUCAGGGCUCCCCGUGGAUGCCUGGGGCCUGACCCUGGAGAUGAAGCCCUGAGAGGGCAAGGGGUCCCCCAGGAUAUGGGAACCACAGGUGAGUUUCCCAUUCAAAUUCAGGGUUUGAGGCCUCCCGGGAUCCAUUCAACUUCUGGCUGAGGGCAAGGCCCACACUGGCCCUCUCUUCACAGGGACCUCCUGGCUGGGAAGAUGGGAGGUGCUGGUGAGGGUGGGUCUGCAUUGCUGCAGCUUUGUCCAAGGAUCCAUUUUCCACUGUGGGGACCAGCUUCUGAGGCAGCUGCCACUGAAUUUUCUACAGAGAUCUGAGCACCUGGCUCAGGGUGGCAUGGGAAGACCCAGAGGUGGAGAGACCUAGAGAGUUCAUCUCCUCUAGGGACAAGAAAAGCACAGCAUGCACACUGCCCUUGCCUCACGCUGAGGUGUGGCACACAUUGCCCAUCAAUCCCAACAUUCUUCUCAGGGCCCAGAUGGAGGCCCAGGCUCCUUCUCCACCCAGAGGUCCCAGCAGCCACGGCCAAUCAUGGACUUGGCUUCACAUUUCCUAGAUGAUGCUGACGAGGCUGCAUCACACAGAUUGGGCCCUGAGGGUCAUAGUGGGAAUGGGACUUGUUCAGGUCCCCUGAGUAGACACUCAGCAGGCUGGUUUUGCCUCCCCCACCCACCCACCUUUGGCAUCCACUGAGAACUGAGCAGACUGGGGCUGCAUGUGGGUGGAGCAGCUGUGGUUCUCGCCACCCCAUGUCUCUGGAGCUUAGCUCUGAGGGGAGCAAGCAUCGUCGGGGGCUCCCGCCAUGCCUCGGUGGUCACGGAGAGAGGGGAGGGACUCGGGAGGACUCGGGAGGGCUCUGAGAGAAGCUCGAGUCCAGGGCUGCUGUUUGAACCUGGGGCCCUCCCAGGAGUUGGCAGGAGAAGGGUGGACAGAGUUUUGGGGCAGAAAGUGGGCAAACCUCUGGCUCCCUCGGUGUGGGCCCUUCUGGUCCAGGACUGUGGGUCCAGCAGAGAAAGGUGGGUGUCACAGAGCUGGAGGGGGAAAGGAUGAGGGCCGGAGAAAUUAUAGCCAGCCUGGGCGCCUCGGGCUGUGGUGACAUCCGACCCUCCUGUCCUCAGAGUCUGCUGAGUUGUCACUUCGGAGAGAAGAACAAGGAUCUGGUCCAAUCUCUGCGGUCCCUGUGGCAGAGCCUGGAGCACUGCCCCAACAUGCACCCUACUCCCACAUACGAGAGCCUUGUGAGGAGUCUGAAUAUGGUGGUCUUUGGGGAGUACGUCCAGGCCCUGGCUGCUUAUCUCAGGAGGCUGGUGCCCAGGACUUCGGGGCACCUCCGUGCUCAGGUGGAAACGGACAUCUGGAAGCUGGGCACCACCUUUAGGGAGCACAGGGGCCCAGCUUUGGACGAUCUACAGGAGUACAUCCUCCAGCUCAGUGAGAGCAGAGACAGACAGACUGUGGAUCAGUGGCUGGCCUCCUUCAGUGACAGUUUCCCUGGUUAUCUGAGACAGGGCAGAUCCACGGCUGUGGAGGAGGAGACUGCGAUCAGGGGACGCUCCUCAUUCUGCUGCAGACUUCUCCAGAACUUAAGGGCCUGCUGGCACCGUUGCUGCCCUAGCAGACGUGGAUGUGAGCUCUAGUUUCAGGAAUCUGCUUGUUCUUGGGGCUGUGGGAGUUAUGUGGCCCCGGUACCCAGCUAAAGCUAAGGAUCUGGGCGCCCCUGGCCACUGGAUGGCCACUUCACAAAUGGCAGCCUGAUAUCUAGAAGGAAGCCGAUCCUUCUCAAUUCUGGAUUCUUCAAUCAGAAAGAACUCUGAGAACUGACUGCAGCUAUCACAGACACCGGGCGAUGAAAGGCCGGCACAGUCAGUGAUCAACCCAGAAGAACGGGAGGGCAACAGGGAUGGCCAAGGACAGAUUAAGACACUCCUGGCUUGGAACGUGGUGGGAAGGAAGACACCCUGGAGGGAGAGUGAGGACGAGAGGGGCUAAGAAGAAAGCUAGAGCCCAAAGGAAGUUCCUCCCCAUCCUGGCUGCAUCGUGUGCCUUUCUUGUGCAUGUAACAACUUUAUUGAGAUACAGGUUACAUAGCACGCAAGUCACUCACUUAACUUUAAUGCACCAUUUGAUGGCUUUUGGUAUAUUCGCAGACUCGUGCAGCCACACCACAAUAAAUUCUAGAACAUUUUCAUUACCCUAGAAAGAGACCCCGUACCCGUCAGCUAUUAACCCCAAUCCCUCUUCCCCGCCCUCCCCCCAGCCCUAAGCAACUGCUACUCUACUUUCUGUUUGUAUAGAUGUGCCUCUUCUGGGCAUUUUUUCUAACUGAAUUGUGUAAUAUGUGGUCUUUUGUGAUUUGCUUCUUUCACUUAGCAUCAUGUUUCAUGGUUCGUCGAUAUCGUGACAUGUAUCAGUAUUUUAUUCCUUUUUAGAGCUGAACAGUAUUCCACUAUAUGGAUAGUCCAUGCUUUGUUUAUCCAUUCAUCCACUGACAGACAUUUGAGUUGUUUCCACUUUGGGGCUAUUAUGAAUAAUGCUGCUGUGAACUUUUGUGUGCAAAUUUGCGUGUGGCCCUGUGUUUUCAGUCCUCCUGUGUUCUACUUAGGCAUGGAAUUGCUGGAUCAAAUGGAACUCCAUGUUUAACUCUCUGAGAACUAGACUAUUUUUCCAAAAUGGUUGCACCAUUUUACAUUCUCACCAGUAAUAUAUGAGGGUUUCAAUUUCUCUACAUCCUCAUCAACACUUUUCAUUAUCUAACUUUUGCAUGAUAGCCAUCAUAGUGGGUAUGAAAUGGCAUCUCAUCGUGAUUUUGGUUUGCACUUCUCUGAUGGCUAAUGAUGUUGAGCAUCUUUUCCUGUUCCCUGAGGGGCCAUUUGUGUUUCUUCUUUGAGAAUUGUCUACUCAGAUCCUUUGCCCAUUUUUUUUUUUUUAAAGAUUUUAUUUUUUUCCUUUUUCUCCCCAAAGCUGCCUGGUACAUAGUUGUAUAUUCUUCGUUGUGGGUCCUUCUAGUUGUGGCAUGUGGGACGCUGCCUCAGCAUGGCCUGAUGAGCGGUGCCAUGUCCGCGCCCAGGAUUCAAACCAACGAAACACUGGGCCGCCUGCAGUGGAGUGCGCGAACUUAACCACUGGGCCACGGGGCCAGCCCCUCUUUGCCCAUUUUUAAUUUGGUUGUUUGUCUUUUUAUUGCUGAGUUGUAAGAGUUCUUCAUAUAUUCUAGAUUCAAGUCCCUAUAAGAUACGUGAUUUGCAAAAAUUUUAUCCCGUUUGGUAGAUUGUCUUUUCACUUUCUCGAUAGCGUCCUUUGAAGCACAAAAAUUUUAAACUUAUCUUUUUCUUUUGUUGCUCGCACUUUUAGUGUCAUAUCUAAGAUAUGAUUGCCAACUCCAAAAUUAUGAAGAUGUGCUCCUGUUUUCUUCUAAGAGUUUUAUAGGUUUAGCUGCUCUACUUGACACCGUCAGGGGUAAUUUUGGAUAUGACAUGGGGUAGGGCUCAACUUCAUUCUUUUGCACAUGGCUCUCCAGUUAUCUCAGCACCGUGCGCUGAACAACUAUUCUCUCCCCCAUUGAAUUGUCUUGGCACUCUUGUCAAGGGUUGGAGGAGUGGGGUCCAGGAAGUCUUCUCAAAGGAGGGACAGACACCCCAUUCCCGUCAGGUGGGAAGGAGGGUAGGAAUUUGCCAGAGGACGAAGGAAGGGUAAGGAGGGAAUGACGGGAGAAAUCAGCUGGGGUGAAGGCCAGGAGGUGGGAGCCAGAGGUGGGUCGGCGUGGCUGAGGCUGGGUAGAGGGGCAGGGAAUGGUGUGGUCAGACGAGUUCUCAUGAGCCCUUGUCCAGGCCAGAGACUUGGACUCUGGUCCUGUGGCAGCUGGAACUGAAGGGCUUCCAUCAAGGGUGACCCCGUUGUGGGACGGUUGCCCUGGCAGCUGCUGGCAGAGGAUGGAGGGGAGUGGCCAGGAUGGCGUGACCCUCUGCUUGUGGGACUCAGCCCCUCUGUCUGUCUGUCUGGGAGACAGAGGAGGGAACUGUCAUUGCUGUGUCACUUGCAUAGUCUCAUCUGCUCUGUCUCCUCCCUGACAACCUUUUGAAAUGGAUCUGUCACCAUUUUGACAGAUGAGAAGACUGAGGAUCAGCGGGCAGAGUGACUUCAGGGUCACCCUGCUUUUCAGCAUUGAUAUUGGGACAAACCCAGGACUGCCCCACCCCUCAGUCUCCUGAGUGUUCAGUUGUCUCCUGUGCCUGAAGAGUGGUCUGUAGGGUGCCCCAGCGUCCACCAGAGGGCGCCAAAACCAAGAUUGCCUGAUGCAGCCCCCUCCCCCACGGACUCAGCAUCUCAGGGGCAGCCUUCUCCCCACCCCCCCUUGACUGAGAGUCCCAGAGGCGGCCCCCAACCCUAGCCCCCGUCAAAGGUUGGCCCCAGUCUGGGCUUCAGAGAACUCAGACCUCACGUCCAGGGUGCUCUCAGGCCCCCUGUCAUCCCAAGAUAACAGGGUGGAUUGGGGCUGGGCCAAAGGAUGGGGGAUGUGGGAACCCCAGGCAGUGACCAAGAAGGAGCCCCUUCACUGUCCCUAAACAUUUGGCAAACUCUCCAAAAUCUUGGAGAGGCUCUGGAGUGUGGCCACUUGAAGCCCUGCGUCUGGGCCAAGCCUCUGCAGGGAUCUGGGCUGCUCUGGGACAGGGUUUCCCUGCCUGGCAGCAGCUGGUCAGGAGGAAUCCUUGUCAUCCCCACCCACAGCCCCAGGGUCACAUUGCCGUGAGGGCAGUCUCAUGUCCACCAUCCUGGAACUAGCCUGCUGAUCUCUCCCUCCUGCCAGCCAGGGAGAUCAUGUAGAGCUGCCUGUGACCUGGGGCUGCCCACACUGUGACCUCACAGUGUCCUAAGAUCUCAAGGAGGACAGGAAGCCAGGCCAAGCAGCCUGCCCCUUGCCCCCUCCUGGUGCCUCUCCCAGCUCCAGAUGGGUGGCCAGGAUGUGACAGGACCCAGGCCAGAGAAAGAGACAUGAGGGUGUCACAAGGGGCUGGUGGGGACAUCUGGGGGCUACUUGAAAGGGUCCCCAGGAGGGACCCAUGCUUCUCCGUGCAGGACGAUGGAGGAGUUGUUCAGCAUCUUUCCACUAUGAGGGCAAUGCCGCAAGAAUCGUGGAGGAGAGACCUGGAGCCUGGGCUCCCCUGGUCCCAGGAAUUAACCAAUCCCAGGACCACCGAGUUGGUGAGCUGUAGCCAAAAGCAUCCAGAAGAUGCAUGUCCUCACCCAGAGGCAGCGCGCCCCACCCACCCCCACCACGGACUCACAUUCCUCAUGGGGCUCACCCCGCUGAGGUGACUGCGUGACUGGAGCGCUAUCCUGCUCUUGGGUGGUUUGAUAAUUUUAUGACAAUAUCACCCAAAUAAGCUGCAAAUCCAAAGUCAUCUCUAUCAAAAUGCCAUGUAGAUCUUUGGAGAAGCUCAGUAAACCUACGCUACAACAGAAGGACCAUGUCACCAAACAGUGAAGUCACCAUAAAAAUGGAGAAUAUCUGAUGGGAAGACCCUACGAAUUCAUGGUCAGAGAACAGUUUCUUCUAACUGCACAAGAGGGCAGGGAGCUGGAGGUGGGGCUGGGGGGUAGGAGACCCUCACCUCGUACUCAGGGGCACUACCACCAAGAGGUGAAGAGCCAACUGUGUGGGAAAUGGUGUUGGGCGCUGGAUCACUACAUGGAGAAAGUAAACAUGGCCUUGACUUAACGCUGCACACAGAGGUGGGCUCCAGAGAGAAUCAAGACCCGAAUGUAAAAGGCAACAAUUUGAAGUUAGAAGCAAGUGUAGGAGAAUCUUUGUAACAUCUGAGCAAGGAAGAAUUUCUUACACAAAGAUCCCAAAGCAUAAUCCAUAAGGCAAAAAACAAUGACAAAUCUGAUUCCAUCAAAACUAGCACUUCUUGCCAAUGGACACCAUGGACAAGUUAGAAAGAGAUAAGAGGAUGGGAGAGAGACUUGCAAAGUCUGAAAUUAAGAGACCCGUAUCACUGGAAUGGACAGGAACGCCUGUGAAUCAUCAAGGCUGAUGGACGGGGCAGUGAGUGAGGCAGGGGCUUUGUUGGGACCUCAGGGUGUGUGUGUGUGUGUGUGUGCACGCGUGUGUGCAUGUGCGGGGGGUGAGGGGCAGGGAACGUUCCUGGGACCAGGAAGAGUGUGUAUCUGUAUUAGCUUCAUGUUCCUGCUGUAACAAACUGGGUGGUUCUAAAAACAGAAAUUUAUUCUCUCCCCAUCCUGAAGGCUAUAAGUCUGAAAUUGAGGUGUCGGCAGGGCUGUGCUCCCUCCAAAGGCUCCAGGGGAGGCUCCUUUUUGGCCUCUUGCAGCUUCUGGUGGCUGCCCCGGUCCUUUCACUCGAGGUGGCCUCAGUCCUCACAUGGCCUCCUCCUCUGUGUGUGUCAAAUCUCCCUCUGCCUCCCUUGAGUAAGGACACAUAGGAUAUCAUUUAGGGCCCACCCAGAUAAUUCAGGAUAAUCCAGGAUAAUCUGCCCAUCUCAAGAGCCUUAAUUUAUUAAAAUCUUCAAAGAUGUUGACAUAUAAGGACAUGGGCAUGGUUCCGUGGAUGAGGACUUGGUAUCUUUGGGGGCCAUGGUUCAGCCCACCACAGUGUCCCAGCCAGUGCAGAGCAGGAAGGCACCCAGCUCUCCCUCCCAGCCUGAUCUCACUCCCUCUGCGCCCUGAGGCUGCCUCAACUCUGCCUUCCCCUGCUUGUCGCCUGACUGAAUGACUGAUGGAGCUUGUGUUGAGACCAAGAUUCUGUGUUCAAUGAUCCAGGAGGAAACAGAGUGCAGAUAGGGGCAGGGGGAGCUCAGGGUCCCAGGGCACAGAGUGAGGAGCUGCCCCUCUGAGAUCCCCUUGUUGUCACUAUCACCCACUAGAAUGGAGCACUGAUUAGGUUCCAGGCACUGUGCUAAGCUGAGCCUGGUGGUCUCCCCUUACCCUCAUCUGCAUCCUAUGAAGAGCUACCCUUCUCACACUCAUUUCCUACUUGUCCUGUUCAAGGCUGCAUACUGAACCUGAGAUCGGAACCACACAGCCCAGUGGGAGCCCCAGUGUUAACAGACAGAACAGGAAAAGUAUGUAGAGCAUCUUUACAGCCUGCCCCACCCCCCUAAGCUACAGCUCUUCACCCAUCAGUCCCACAGAAAUGAAGGGCUGGCAGCACCUGGUGUCGGGGAAGGUGUGAGGGGACGGGCAUGGGCUACACAGGUUCCUCUGAUGGAACACGGCUUCGGUUGAAGACUUUCCACCAAACCAUCUGGAAAAGAUAAGCCGCUUUCAGUGAGCACCCCCUUUUUCAUGUGACUACCAAGCACACUAGAUAAAUUUGCCAUAAAAGCGACAUUUUGACGCUUUGAUUUGGGCACAGACAUGCCCAUCAAUUUGGUCAUCAUAGCAAUUUCUAGUCAAAGAAAGUCGUGGGGAGCCAAUGUGAACUGUGCCCCUGUCUGGAAGACCCCAAAUGUACUGCUUCUCAUAGACCUGCCAGGUGAGGGGACACAGUGGGCGCCUCUUCCACACUCUCCCAUCUGCUGGGUGGUGAGGUUUUUUUCCGUGUCUUUGACAGCAUUCCUGUGUUUUGCCUUAUCGAUUUUGUGUGUGUGCAAUAACUUUGUUAUUUAUUUAUUUUUUAAAGAUUGGCACCUAGGCUAACAACUAUUGCCAAUCUUUUUUUUUUUUUUCUGCUUUAUCUCCCCAACCUCCCCCCCCCCCCAACACACAGUUGUAUAUCUUAGUUGCAAGUCCUUCUAGUUGUGGGAUGUGGGAUGCCGCCUCAACGUGGCCUGACAAGCAGUGCCAUGUCUGCGCCCAGGAUCUGAACCCUGGGCCGCCACAGUGGAGCAUGCGAACUUAACCAUUCGGCCACGGAGCCAGCCCCAGUAAUAACUUUAUUUUUAAGUAUAGCUUCAGUGAAAGAUAAAGAUAAGCCUCUCCCAGUGGUUGAAACAUUGGUAAAGAAAAUGGUGUGGAAAGAACGUGUCUUCUGAAGAAUAACUCCCUUGCACCUGCCUUCAUCAGCCACCACCUGUCAUCAAGUCUUCUGUACCACCUUUGUGGGCAAAGUAAUUCUUAAUUACAUUAAAUUUUAUGUACAAGUGGUAUUUAUUUACUUUGAAAUUAUUGAAGCUGUUCCUUACUUUUUUUAAAUCGUUUUUCAUUGUUCAACCAAUGUGUUUUUCUACAUGUGAAAAUUGUUUGACUAUCUUGGAUUGGGAUAGAAUAGAGCAUUUUCUUCCAUUAAAUUGAUAGAAAUAUUUAAAAAUUUUAAUGGCUUGUUAUUUAGCAUCAGAGUUUUCAGGAAUGAAUUAACUUGUUAAGUGUGAGAUAUGUGCAUUAGAAAAACAUCACUCUUGAGAAGUCAGAAGAACAGUAUGUUAAACUGAAAAAUAGAAAGAAACAUAGAGGUAAGAUCAGAAAUUGG